This 441-nucleotide ribosomal RNA is filed under the name uncultured bacterium. RNAcentral's name for it is "SSU rRNA". It matches the Rfam family "Bacterial small subunit ribosomal RNA", at positions 26 to 518 of the family's 1533-position model. The record is from RNAcentral.
AGAGCGAACGCUGGCGGCAGGCCUAACACAUGCAAGUCGAGCGCCCCGCAAGGGGAGCGGCAGACGGGAGAGUAACACGUGGGAACGUGCCCUUUGGUUCGGAACAACACAGGGAAACUUGUGCUAAUACCGGAUAAGCCCUUACGGGGAAAGAUUUAUCGCCAAAGGAUCGGCCCGCGUCUGAUUAGCUUGUUGGUGAGGUAACGGCUCACCAAGGCGACGAUCAGUAGCUGGUCUGAGAGGAUGAUCAGCCUCACUGGGACUGAGACACGGCCCAGACUCCUACGGGAGGCAGCAGUGGGGAAUAUUGGACAAUGGGCGCAAGCCUGAUCCAGCCAUGCCGCGUGGGUGAUGAAGGCCCUAGGGUUGUAAAGCCCUUUCGGCGGGGAAGAUAAUGACGGUACCGCAGAAGAAGCCCGGCUAACUCGUGCCAGCAGCCGC